Non-coding RNA from Marmota flaviventris (yellow-bellied marmot), 71 nucleotides. The record is from the annotation of a RefSeq genome assembly. NCBI's taxonomy places the organism in Eukaryota, Metazoa, Chordata, Mammalia, Rodentia, Sciuridae.
GGGGUGUAGCUCAGUGGUAGAGCGCUUGCCUACCAUGCAGGAGGCCCUGGGUUUGAUUUCCAGCACCACCA